GGAGGAAUAUUGGUCAAUGGACGGAAGUCUGAACCAGCCAAGUAGCGUGCAGGAUGACGGCCCGAUGGGUUGUAAACUGCUUUUAUACGGGGAUAAAGUUAGGGACGUGUCCCUAUUUGCAGGUACCGUAUGAAUAAGGACCGGCUAAUUCCGUGCCAGCAGCCGCGGUAAUACGGAAGGUCCGGGCGUUAUCCGGAUUUAUUGGGUUUAAAGGGAGCGUAGGCCGUAGAUUAAGUGUGUUUUGAAAUGUAGACGCUCAACGUCUGACUUGCAGCGCAUACUGGUUUACUUUAGUUUGCACAACGUUGGCGGAAUUCGUCGUGUAGCGGUGAAAUGCUUAGAUAUGACGAAGAACUCCGAUUGCGAAGGCAGCUUGCGGGAGCAAAACUGACGCUGAAGCUCGAAAGUGCGGGUAUCGAACAUG
Molecule: ribosomal RNA, 424 nt
Filed under: Verrucomicrobiota bacterium
Lineage: Bacteria; Pseudomonadati; Verrucomicrobiota
Description: Verrucomicrobia bacterium partial 16S ribosomal RNA
Rfam family: Bacterial small subunit ribosomal RNA
Source: RNAcentral